UAGCUCAGUCAGUAGAGCAUGAGACUCUUAAUCUCAGGGUCAUGGGUUCGUGCCCCAC
This 58-nucleotide transfer RNA is filed under the name Erinaceus europaeus (western European hedgehog). It matches the Rfam family "tRNA", at positions 8 to 63 of the family's 71-position model. Rfam says of the family: Transfer RNA (tRNA) molecules are approximately 80 nucleotides in length. Their secondary structure includes four short double-helical elements and three loops (D, anti-codon, and T loops). The record is from Rfam by way of RNAcentral. Lineage: Eukaryota; Metazoa; Chordata; Mammalia; Eulipotyphla; Erinaceidae.